Molecule: unclassified non-coding RNA, 317 nt
Filed under: Melitaea cinxia (Glanville fritillary)
Lineage: Eukaryota; Metazoa; Arthropoda; Insecta; Lepidoptera; Nymphalidae
Description: misc RNA ENSMCXG00005003699.1
Source: RNAcentral
CGUUGUAUUAUACCGCAUAACUUUCUACUGGAUGUACCGAUUUUGAUAAUUCUUUUUUGUCGGAAAGGGGAUAUUCUUAGUUUGGUACUAUGAUAAGGAAACCAGGAUCUGAUGAUGGGAUCUCAGAGAAAUCGAGGGAAACUCUCGAAAAUCCGCAAUAACUUUUUACUGGGUUCACAUAUAAAUUUAAUCGAGAUCUGAUAACUACUUUUUGAGUAAUCUUUGAUAAUGCGUAGUUGCUUGACUAUUUUUUCGUCGAUCUACGUUGUAUUACUUGUCGAUGUAAUUGAAGUCGGUUUUUUUUUUCGUUUGCGAGC